UACGUAGGGUGCAAGCGUUGUCCGGAAUUAUUGGGCGUAAAGAGCUCGUAGGCGGUUUGUCGCGUCUGCUGUGAAAACUCGGGGCUUAACUCCGGGCCUGCAGUGGGUACGGGCAGACCAGAGUGCGGUAGGGGAGACUGGAAUUCCUGGUGUAGCGGUGAAAUGCGCAGAUAUCAGGAGGAACACCGGUGGCGAAGGCGGGUCUCUGGGCCGUAACUGACGCUGAGGAGCGAAAGCGUGGGGAGCGAACAGG
Molecule: ribosomal RNA, 253 nt
Filed under: uncultured bacterium
Lineage: Bacteria
Description: partial 16S ribosomal RNA
Rfam family: Bacterial small subunit ribosomal RNA
Source: RNAcentral